AGAAAGAAAGUUUGGAUCCACCACUGCGUGCCCUCUUCAGACCCUAUCCAGCUCGGAGUCAUCCUACCUUGUCUUUUCUGUCCUUGGCUGUUCUUCCAGUCCCUCAAGCUGUCUCCUCGGACAUGAUGUCUACAGCGCAGACUCAUUUUUCAACAGAGAUCACUGUCAUUGUCCACGGAGGCUUCUAAGAAAGAAACUACAACGUUGGAAACUGAGAACUGCUGGUCUGGACCGACCAUAAAAACUUGGCAGUCAUCCAAUCCACCGAAAGCCUCAACUCACGUCGAGCCAGGGUGCCAUCCCCAAUCCAUUGGUCGGACUGAGAGAGCCAACCAGGACCUAGAAGCAUCCCUUUGUUGUGUGUCUGCUCAGCGUCCGUCCUCCUGGCCCAACAUCUGCUGUGGAUAGAGCAUGCCCACAACUCCCUGACCAUCUCCGCCACUGGCUUCUCACCUUUUGAGGUCGCCCUGGGAUACCAAACCCCCCCCUUGUUUCCUGCUCAGGAGAAGGAACUGGCUGUUCCCUCGGUUCAGGAGAACCUAAAGUUUGGAGCGACGCCCGGGAAGCCCUGCUCAACGAAGCCAAACUCAGCACCGGCGCCAGAUCGUUGCACCUACCAGUGUGACCUACGCCUCCAGACCUGUUGCCGUGGCUCAUCACGCUCAAGCCUUCCUACCUUCCUGCUUGGAUUCCACAAAGAAAGUUUGGAUCCAGCACUGCCUGCCCUCCUCAGCCCCUAUCCAGCUCGGAGUCAUCCUACUUUGUUAUUUCUGUCCUUGGCUGCCA
This is a long non-coding RNA of Etheostoma cragini (Arkansas darter), 786 nucleotides long. RefSeq lists it as uncharacterized. NCBI's taxonomy places the organism in Eukaryota, Metazoa, Chordata, Actinopteri, Perciformes, Percidae. The record is from RefSeq and is a predicted model, not a curated record. The transcript has 5 exons.